AGUGAACGCUGGCGGUAGGCCUAACACAUGCAAGUCGAACGGCAGCACAGUAAGAGCUUGCUCUUACGGGUGGCGAGUGGCGGACUGGUGCGGAAUACAUCGGAAUCUACUUUUUCGUGGGGGAUAACGUAGGGUAACUUACUCUAAUACCGCAUACGAGCUACGGGUGAAAUCACGGGAUCUUCGGACCUUGCGCGAUUGAAUUAGCCGAUGUCGGAUUAGCUAGUUGGCGGGGUAAAGGCCCACCCAGGCGACGAUCCGUAGCUGAUCUGAGAGGAUGAUCAGCCACACUGGAACUGAGACACGGUCCAGACUCCUACGGGAGGCAGCAGUGGGGAAUAUUGGACCAUGGGCGCAAGCCUGAUCCAGCCAUACCGCGUGGGUGAAGAAGGCCUUCGGGUUGUAAAGCCCUUUUGUUGGGAAAGAAAAGCAGCAGGUUAAUACCCCGCUGUUCUGACGGUACCCAAAGAAUAAGCACCGGCUAACUUCGUG
Molecule: ribosomal RNA, 492 nt
Filed under: uncultured bacterium
Lineage: Bacteria
Description: partial 16S ribosomal RNA
Rfam family: Bacterial small subunit ribosomal RNA
Source: RNAcentral